RNAcentral lists this ribosomal RNA (240 nucleotides) under uncultured bacterium. RNAcentral's name for it is "partial 16S ribosomal RNA". It matches the Rfam family "Bacterial small subunit ribosomal RNA", at positions 95 to 334 of the family's 1533-position model. The record is from RNAcentral.
UUGGCGAACGGGUGAGUAACGCGUGAAUAACCUGACUCAAAGAGGGGGAGUAACAACGGGAAACUGUUGCUAAUACCGCAUGAGACCACAACACCGCAUGAUGAAGGGGUCAAAGAUUUAUCGCUUUGAGAGGGGUUCGCGUCCCAUUAGGUAGUUGGAGGGGUAACGGCCCACCAAGCCAACGAUGGGUAGCCGAGCUGAGAGGCUGAUCGGCCACACUGGAACUGAGACACGGUCCAG